RNAcentral lists this ribosomal RNA (381 nucleotides) under uncultured bacterium. Its description in RNAcentral is "bacterial SSU rRNA". It matches the Rfam family "Bacterial small subunit ribosomal RNA", at positions 28 to 408 of the family's 1533-position model. The record is from RNAcentral.
GACGAACGCUGGCGGCGUGCUUAACACAUGCAAGUCGAGCGGUAAGGCCCUUUCGGGGGUACGACGAGCGGCGAACGGGUGAGUAACACGUGGGUGACCUGCCCUUACGCUCUGGGAUAAGCCUGGGAAACUGGGUCUAAUACCGGAUAUGACUCCAUGACGCAUGUUGUGGGGUGGAAAGCCUUGUGCGGCUAGGGAUGGGCCUGCGGCCUAUCAGCUUGUUGGUGGGGUGAUGGCCUACCAAGGCGACGACGGGUAGCCGGCCUGAGAGGGCGACCGGCCACACUGGGACUGAGACACGGCCCAGACUCCUACGGGAGGCAGCAGUGGGGAAUCUUGCGCAAUGGGCGAAAGCCUGACGCAGCGACGCCGCGUGGGGAU